UUAAAGGCAUUUUUUAAUGCCAUCCAUAUAAUCUUUAAAAGUAAC
Non-coding RNA from Plasmodium gonderi, 45 nucleotides. The record is from Rfam. Lineage: Eukaryota; Apicomplexa; Aconoidasida; Haemosporida; Plasmodiidae.